This is a non-coding RNA of Odocoileus virginianus texanus, 1513 nucleotides long. Lineage: Eukaryota; Metazoa; Chordata; Mammalia; Artiodactyla; Cervidae. The record is from RefSeq and is a predicted model, not a curated record.
UGCUCAGCCGUUGGUCAGUGGCACAGUGGGCCCCUUCCUCUUCCCCUCUUGUAUAUAAAAGGAGCUCGAAUUCCGACCGAAAGCUGACUUUUUGAGAUGCUAGUCUGCCACCUUCUCAGUCUGCUAGUUUUCUGAUUGCAAGUCAUUACUCCUUGUCCCAACAACUAGUCUGUAGAUUUAUUGGCCUGUCUCGCAUGGAGCAGAAAGAGGUUGGGCUUGGUAGCAAAUGGAUUCACACCCUGUCAGUUAAGCUGUGUUGCAGAUACUGAACCCCCACCAGGUGGGAGAAUUUAAUUAUAUUACAGCUUGUGCUGCACACAAGUACUUAGACCCCUGACCACUUGAAUCCAGUAGGUUCACUAUAUUGACGCCCACUUACUUCACGACCAACCAAUCAGAAGAGUGUGCAUGAACUGACCACGUCCUCUCUGAGCCCUUACUAUAAAACCCCCUCACUACCUCUUCAGGUUAAGACAGUUUUGAGGGGUUAGACUGCUGUGGGUCCUUUUGCCUGGCAAAGCUGUAAAGCUAUUUCCUACUUCACUCUAAACUCAGUCUCCAAAAUCAGUUCAGUGUCGGGGUACAGAUGCUGGAUUCGGCUUCAGUAGGGGAACUCAGUUUUAGGGGGACCCAAUUUCAUCACCUCAACUUCUCCAAACCUGGACUUUUCUCUAGAGCCUUCUAUAGCCAAAAACUUUCUCAAGGUCUGCCUAUUGACCAGACUCUUCUCUGCUAAGGAUAAAACACCUCAGCCUGUUGGACACAACCACCUCCUUCAACAUGACCACAGCCUCCUGUGACAGACUCGGUGGACAGGCAUUUUAGGUCUUGGUCCCACUUAACUGACAGGGAAGAAGCCUAAGCUGCAUGGUCAGAGUCUGUAUGUGUGCCACACUAUUGAUGGCGCUUGGGGAAAUGGAGGCUUCAGAACUCAGGUGUCCGACUGAAGAAAUCGCAACUUCAAAAGAGAGCGCAACUUGGAAAAAUAAUUCUCCACAGGCGCUGACCGCCAUAUUGCCCAGCAGCGGCCCUUAUGGGCAGAAUCUGGGUUCCUGGCGGUUCGUCAUGUGACGGGCGGCUGUUGGUGGCCGUUGGUGGCUCUCAGGUGGUUUGGAGUUUUGGAGUGUUCUCUGCCGAGUGUUUGCUGCUGAGGCGCUGUGGCACUGCCAGGCGACCUGAUUCGGAAGGUAGACUUUGGAAGCCUAUUGUUUCAGCCGCAUCGUGAGAAGACCCGAGGGAGCCAUGUAGAAGAGAUUGUGAAGAAGAAUUGCAAAGACAUGAACCAGCCUGCAAGUAAUUCUCCCCCAGAGGCUCCACUUAAAAGCCCAGGGUUGGAAGGACUGGAAAGUGUAGGAAGGCUCCUAUUUGGAGGCAUCCAGAAGUUUGGAGAUACAGCUAUUCUACUCUGUACGAUCAUGUCAUUGAUGUACAUGCAUAGUGACUGUACUUUCAUGAAUCAGUGUAAUUGUGAGUUUGUGUGUGUGUUUAUAUUAAAGAGUAUUUGUAUAUUCAA